GAGAUAGUCAUAAAGGUUAUGGGGUUGACUUGAAAUUAAUCUGAGGGGGUUCAAUUCCUCCCUUUCUUA
RNAcentral lists this transfer RNA (69 nucleotides) under Monodelphis domestica (gray short-tailed opossum). It matches the Rfam family "tRNA". From Rfam's summary of the family: Transfer RNA (tRNA) molecules are approximately 80 nucleotides in length. Their secondary structure includes four short double-helical elements and three loops (D, anti-codon, and T loops). Further hydrogen bonds mediate the characteristic L-shaped molecular structure. tRNAs have two regions of fundamental functional importance: the anti-codon, which is responsible for specific mRNA codon recognition, and the 3' end, to which the tRNAs corresponding amino acid is attached (by aminoacyl-tRNA synthetases). tRNAs cope with the degeneracy of the genetic code in two manners: having more than one tRNA (with a specific anti-codon) for a particular amino acid; and 'wobble' base-pairing, i.e. permitting non-standard base-pairing at the 3rd anti-codon position. The record is from Rfam by way of RNAcentral. Lineage: Eukaryota; Metazoa; Chordata; Mammalia; Didelphimorphia; Didelphidae.